GACGAACGCUGGCGGCGUGCUUAACACAUGCAAGUCGAACGGAAAGGCCCUGCUUUUGUGGGGUGCUCGAGUGGCGAACGGGUGAGUAACACGUGAGUAACCUGCCCUUGACUUUGGGAUAACUUCAGGAAACUGGGGCUAAUACCGGAUAGGAUCUCCUGCUGCAUGGUGGGGGUUGGAAAGUUUCGGCGGUUGGGGAUGGACUCGCGGCUUAUCAGAUUGUUGGUGGGGUAGUGGCUUACCAAGGCUUUGACGGGUAGCCGGCCUGAGAGGGUGACCGGCCACAUUGGGACUGAGCUAAGGCACAGACUCCUACGGGAGGCAGCAGAGGGGAAUAUUGCACAAUGGGCGGAAGCCUGAUGCAGCAACGCCGCGUGCGGGAUGACGGCCUUCGGGUUGUAAACCGAUUUCGCCUGUGACGAAGCGUGAGUGACGGUAAUGGGUAAAGAAGCACCGGCUAACUACGUG
RNAcentral lists this ribosomal RNA (468 nucleotides) under uncultured bacterium. Its description in RNAcentral is "partial 16S ribosomal RNA". It matches the Rfam family "Bacterial small subunit ribosomal RNA", at positions 28 to 507 of the family's 1533-position model. The record is from RNAcentral.